RNAcentral lists this ribosomal RNA (420 nucleotides) under uncultured bacterium. RNAcentral's name for it is "bacterial SSU rRNA". It matches the Rfam family "Bacterial small subunit ribosomal RNA", at positions 354 to 772 of the family's 1533-position model. The record is from RNAcentral.
GUAGGGAAUAUUGGUCAAUGGAUGGAAGUCUGAACCAGCCAUGCCGCGUGCAGGAAGAAGGCCUUCUGGGUUGUAAACUGCUUUUGCCGGGGGAUAAAAUUCCCAUGCGUGGGACAUUGAAGGUACCCGGUGAAUAAGCCACGGCUAACUACGUGCCAGCAGCCGCGGUAAUACGUAGGUGGCAAGCGUUGUCCGGAUUUAUUGGGUUUAAAGGGUGCGUAGGCGGCCUAUUAAGUCAGUUCUGAAAUAUCCCGGCUUAACCGGGAGGGUGGGAUUGAUACUGAUGGGCUUGAGUGGAAUCGAGGUAGGCGGAAUUGACGGUGUAGCGGUGAAAUGCUUAGAUAUCGUCAAGAACACCGAUAGUGUAGACAGCUUACUAGACUUCAACUGACGCUGAGGCACGAAAGUGUGGGGAUCAAA